Erpetoichthys calabaricus (reedfish) is the source of this 711-nucleotide long non-coding RNA. RefSeq lists it as uncharacterized. NCBI's taxonomy places the organism in Eukaryota, Metazoa, Chordata, Cladistia, Polypteriformes, Polypteridae. The transcript is spliced from 3 exons. The record is from RefSeq and is a predicted model, not a curated record.
CUCCUGCCUUGCACCCUGUGUUGGCUGGGAUUGGCUCCAGCAGACCCCCCGUGACCCUGUGUUAGGAUAUAGCGGGUUGGACAAUGACUGACGCUUGGAGCCUCCACCCUGACCGCCCGAGCACCGCGAGUCUUUAGUCGAGUCCGGGGGAUACAAGGGUGGGCAUGAGAAGAAAAGGUUCCAAGCCUCUGCUUAAUCCUAAAUACGGAGAUACCGGGAGCAACACGCGGCACCUCAGUCUUAUCCUCAUUCAGCUACAGCCAUCCAGCUCUUAACGGCAGUCAGACAUUCAGCAGACGAUUUCUGAAGGUCCAGCGGGUUUAAAGGAAAAAAACGCUUUGGUCCUGCAGUGCUUGUUUAAAGGUCCACGCUGGGCCCAAGGGUCUCUUAAAAAUGAAGGAAUAUCUGCACUUCAGUGAGCGGGCAGUCCACAAAGGGUGGUACAGGGUAAGGGUAGAGUUCAGCAUGUUCCCAAGUGAGAGAAGCAAGUUUCAUGCCAGUGCAGAAGGGCACACACUGGCAAGGCAGCAAGCCCUAUAAAUAUACCGGGUACUCUGAACUACAGCCUGGGCACCUGAGGAGGGUUGAGUGUUAGGUGCCACCUGGAAGGAAGAUUAUGACCUUAGAAAUGUGCCUCAAGGUGCCCAUCAGUGAGGCUUCUUCUACUCACUGAUAUCUACCCACCUGAUGUAUAGUCCAUUAAUUGAACUC